Long non-coding RNA from Astatotilapia calliptera (eastern happy), 1261 nucleotides. The record is from Ensembl. NCBI's taxonomy places the organism in Eukaryota, Metazoa, Chordata, Actinopteri, Cichliformes, Cichlidae.
GAGUCUAUGAACUGUGAGCGAUUUUAUCUCGGAACCCUGUGACAUAAAUAAUCAACAAUUUCUAGAUUUUAAUGAUAAAAUUAAAAAAAUAAUGGAAAAAAAACACGCGACCGGUUAUUUUUUAGUACUUCCGGGGUGACUGUCAUGGCGGCGCCCAUAACGCUCUAGCGAAAGGAAUCUAAACACGUUCAUGAAAUAAUAAAACGCUGUGGAGCGAAGCAGCCAUGAAGUUCAAAGAUCUGCUGAAGUGGAACGCCAGAGUAUCCGCCGUGUACGCGAUUGGUAUUUGGACCAUGGUCGGCUCGUACGCUUACCUGAAAUACACAGGUCGCUGCGAGGUCGCGCCAGUGAAAAAAGAAGAAGUGGAAGAGCCGCAGGAUCCAAACCAGGUGGUCUACAAGACGGCACACGCCAAAACUGUCAUCACCUAUAAGAAAGACUUUGUCCCGUACACCACAAGGAUCUAUAAUCUCAUCUCAUCCUUCAGCAGCGAUCGAGGGGCUGGAGACGACAACAAAUGAACCUCUCCAGUUAAUAUUUAUGUAUUUCUGUGAGGACAUUAUAAUGUUUUUGUUUUUUAAGGAAACUCCAGCUGCGUGUCCACCUGUCCUGCUCUGAUGGCCUCAGCCAGCUUUUAGUAUCAAACUGUAAGCAGUAUUCAGUACUGUUCUGUAAUUCAGAUGCUCGUGGUGUGUAAAUAAACCCUCAAAAUGCAGAAAUCUGUUUCAGUAGAAAGAUUAAAGGUUCAUCUGUGAUUCAUGUUAUAGGUUGGAACAGGAUUUGGGGCCUAGUGAUGUUUAAUCCUGGAUUUUCAGUGUGACAGAGGUCGUUUACUUUUUACCUUAUGUUUGAUGAGUGAUGUCAACAGUUGUGAAGUCACCACCAGCUGACCAGUCAGUUCUCUGGAAAAUAAAACCACGACUCCAAGAAGAUCCUUCAGACCACAGAGCUCAGAUUAUAAUAAGAUGUAAAGUUUUUCAACAGCAUUUAAAGUCUUGGUCUUUCCAUGAUAAGCAUCAAUAAGAAAUACGCACUGGAGCCUUGGUCUACACCACAGGCCAGCAAGACAGUUUUCGGCCACCUGGGAUACCGAGUGGCUGAAAACAAAGAGGGAAGAGAAACUCCACGGAUGCACGUGAAAUGUGACUGAACUGUUUAGUGAGCAGGUUAUGUUGUUCUCACUGUUUAUUAAGAUGAAUGAAGUCUGUCUAAAGCAGUAAUGUUGAUUUUGAAUCAAUACAAGCCAUCUGUUUUAAGGCCG